AGAUCAGAAGGUGAUUGUGGCU
This 22-nucleotide microRNA is filed under the name Xenopus laevis (African clawed frog). RNAcentral's name for it is "Xla-Mir-383-P1_5p (mature (guide))". Lineage: Eukaryota; Metazoa; Chordata; Amphibia; Anura; Pipidae. The record is from RNAcentral. RNAcentral also lists the same sequence under 32 other names.